This is a long non-coding RNA of Arabidopsis lyrata subsp. lyrata, 588 nucleotides long. RefSeq lists it as uncharacterized. The record is from RefSeq and is a predicted model, not a curated record. The transcript is spliced from 3 exons. Lineage: Eukaryota; Viridiplantae; Streptophyta; Magnoliopsida; Brassicales; Brassicaceae.
GAUCCUGCAUUCAUGGACAAUAUACUGUCAAAAAGGGAGACUCUUGAUAUGGUCUAGACUGAUGAGGAAGGAGCAAAGACAACUCUUUUAAACUAUGAUAACUUGAUCUGCAUACGAGGAAUACCGAGAAAAUCAGAUCUUCAUUCACACAUAUCAGACUAGCAAAUCCGUGUAAAAAUCUUGAAAAUCUGGAAGCAAAAGGGAGUUCAGGAUGAAGCAAUCGAGUUAUAAUUCCUUGAUGAUAAGGUACUAUAAUUAGCUAGCAAAAAUCUUAUUCAUCUUUUUUAUUUCUACAUCUAUAUUUAGCGAGUUCUGUUUUUAUUUGUUUUAGAUUCAAUAUUACUAAUGGGGAAGGUUGUUCUCAAGUAUCUUUGAUCCACAAAUUCCAGAAUUUACAAGAUUAGGCAAACGUAACCUUAUUCUAACCAAGGUAAAUAAUUAGUGUUGGGUGUUUGGCAACAAGAACAUCAUUUAGUUUACUUUAAAAAAAUAACAAUACGUACUUAGAGCUACUGGAUUGAUUGUUAUCAAGCAUUGGUCUAUAAAACUAUAACUAUAAGAUAGAUGCAUAAACGGAUCCGAGAGAAA